This 581-nucleotide ribosomal RNA is filed under the name Alternaria brassicae. Its description in RNAcentral is "eukaryotic LSU rRNA". The stretch from base 201 to 354 matches the Rfam family "5.8S ribosomal RNA". The record is from RNAcentral. Lineage: Eukaryota; Fungi; Ascomycota; Dothideomycetes; Pleosporales; Pleosporaceae.
GUCCUCCGUAGGGGUAACCUGCGGAGGGAUCAUUACACAAAUAUGAAGGCGGGCUGGAACCUCUCGGGGUUACAGCCUUGCUGAAUUAUUCACCCUUGUCUUUUGCGUACUUCUUGUUUCCUUGGUGGGUUCGCCCACCACUAGGACAAACAUAAACCUUUUGUAAUUGCAAUCAGCGUCAGUAACAAAUUAAUAAUUACAACUUUCAACAACGGAUCUCUUGGUUCUGGCAUCGAUGAAGAACGCAGCGAAAUGCGAUAAGUAGUGUGAAUUGCAGAAUUCAGUGAAUCAUCGAAUCUUUGAACGCACAUUGCGCCCUUUGGUAUUCCAAAGGGCAUGCCUGUUCGAGCGUCAUUUGUACCCUCAAGCUUUGCUUGGUGUUGGGCGUCUUGUCUCUAGCUUUGCUGGAGACUCGCCUUAAAGUAAUUGGCAGCCGGCCUACUGGUUUCGGAGCGCAGCACAAGUCGCACUCUCUAUCAGCAAAGGUCUAGCAUCCAUUAAGCCUUUUUUUCAACUUUUGACCUCGGAUCAGGUAGGGAUACCCGCUGAACUUAAGCAUAUCAAUAAGCNGGAGGAAACUC